UAAAAUGUAAAAUGUAAAUAUUAAAUUAUUAAAAGUUAUGGUCUUUAAAAUUAAAAAAUUUGGCGGUAUUUUAGUCUUUUCAGAGGAACCUGUCCUAUAAUUGAUAUUCCACGAUUAGAGGUACUUAUUUUAAUAAUUUGUAUAUCAUCGUAAUUGAAUAUUUUUGUAGAAAUUUAAUAUUCAUAAUUUUAUAUUUAAAUAUAAAUCAGAUCAAGGUGCAGUAUAUAAGUAAGAAGAGAUGGGUUACAAUAAAGUUAUUUAUGGUUUUAUAUUUUAAAAAUGUAAAUAAAUAGGAUUUGAUAGUAAUUUUUUUAAUUUUUUAAAAAUGAUUUAGCUCUAAAAUAUGU
RNAcentral lists this ribosomal RNA (347 nucleotides) under Ianmoorea zealandica. Its description in RNAcentral is "partial 12S ribosomal RNA". The record is from RNAcentral. Lineage: Eukaryota; Metazoa; Arthropoda; Insecta; Coleoptera; Staphylinidae.